UACGUAGGGGGCAAGCGUUGUCCGGAAUCAUUGGGCGUAAAGCGCGUGUAGGCGGCCCGGUAAGUCCGCUGUGAAAGUCAGGGGCUCAACCCUUGAAUGCCGGUGGAUACUGCAGGGCUAGAGUCCGGAAGAGGCGACUGGAAUUCCUGGUGUAGCGGUGAAAUGCGCAGAUAUCAGGAGGAACACCGAUGGCGAAGGCAGGUCUCUGGGCAUUAACUGACGCUGAGGAGCGAAAGCAUGGGGAGCGAACAGG
Molecule: ribosomal RNA, 253 nt
Filed under: uncultured bacterium
Lineage: Bacteria
Description: partial 16S ribosomal RNA
Rfam family: Bacterial small subunit ribosomal RNA
Source: RNAcentral